UAGGGGGCGUAGCAAUACGUCACCGGCGGACGGGUGCGUAACACGUGGGAAUAUACCUUUUGGUUCGGAACAACGCAGGGAAACUUGCGCUAAUACCGAAUGUGUCCUUACGGAGAAAGAUUUAUCGCCAAAGGAUUAGCCCGCGUUCGAUUAGCUAGUUGGUGAGGUAAUGGCUCACCAAGGCAACGAUCGAUAGCUGUUCUGAGAGGAAGAUCAGCCACACUGGGACUGAGACACGGCCCAGACUCCUACGGGAGGCAGCAGUUGGGAAUCUUGGACAAUGGGGGAAACCCUGAUCCAGCCAUGCCGCGUGAGUGAUGAAGGCCUUCGGGUUGUAAAGCUCUUUUACCCGGGAAGAUAAUGACUGUACCGGGAGAAUAAGCUCCGGCUAACUUCGUG
RNAcentral lists this ribosomal RNA (399 nucleotides) under uncultured bacterium. RNAcentral's name for it is "bacterial SSU rRNA". It matches the Rfam family "Bacterial small subunit ribosomal RNA", at positions 64 to 507 of the family's 1533-position model. The record is from RNAcentral.